This is a long non-coding RNA of Haliotis rufescens (red abalone), 367 nucleotides long. RefSeq lists it as uncharacterized. The record is from RefSeq and is a predicted model, not a curated record. Lineage: Eukaryota; Metazoa; Mollusca; Gastropoda; Lepetellida; Haliotidae. The transcript is spliced from 3 exons.
UCUAAAGCACACCUUCUGAUUAUCUUGCUGCCAUUGCAUUCCCACACGACAUCACGACUAUAUAAAGUGCACUUGCCGUCCAGGACGCUACACCAACAAACAAGCAUGAAGUUUCUCGCUCUUCUCCUGAUCGUCGCCGUCUUCACCCUCAACACUGGCGAGGUGAGCGGCCAGCAGUGUGCGGGCGCAUGCAGGAACGAGGCAAAUAACUUCUGCGCUACCCAGUGUGCUUCCUGUGCACAUGGAGCAACUUGUGACCACACCAGAAACGUCUGUACCUGUUAACACCAAUAGAAAUGAUCUCUUGGAUAUGGUUUGGUCUGCCUUCGUAUGAAGACAAUACUUUAAUAAACAAACAAAAUGUGAA